GGCCUGGUGGCUCAGCGGUAGAGCGUUUCCUUUCAGUUCUGGCGGCGGCGGCGACACAAACUCUGGCGGCGGCGACACGCCAACAUUGGCGGCGGCGGCGGCGACAAACUACUGGAAAAGGUCCUCGGUUCGAAUCCGAGCGAGGCCA
Transfer RNA from Fusarium graminearum, 148 nucleotides. It matches the Rfam family "tRNA". From Rfam's summary of the family: Transfer RNA (tRNA) molecules are approximately 80 nucleotides in length. Their secondary structure includes four short double-helical elements and three loops (D, anti-codon, and T loops). Further hydrogen bonds mediate the characteristic L-shaped molecular structure. tRNAs have two regions of fundamental functional importance: the anti-codon, which is responsible for specific mRNA codon recognition, and the 3' end, to which the tRNAs corresponding amino acid is attached (by aminoacyl-tRNA synthetases). tRNAs cope with the degeneracy of the genetic code in two manners: having more than one tRNA (with a specific anti-codon) for a particular amino acid; and 'wobble' base-pairing, i.e. permitting non-standard base-pairing at the 3rd anti-codon position. The record is from Rfam. Lineage: Eukaryota; Fungi; Ascomycota; Sordariomycetes; Hypocreales; Nectriaceae.